UUGCAUUUCUAUUCCUCCACAGAGACCGCCGCUCGGCUUGCUGAUAUUGGACCAACAACGCUUGCGGAAUUAGCAAAGAGGACGCAGAAUCGGGAUCUUUUUCCCAGUUUAUUGGCUUCUUCUGGAACCACAGGUGCUGUGAUGCUGGAGACGAGCAGCGCAUCAAGAUGACCGCCACACAGCAGGACUCUGAAAUGACACUGUUAUCAACUGGGCUUUUUCCACCAAAUUGCCCACCACCAUCCAACUGGGUCAAAGCAGCUCACCAGCGACCCAGCAUUAUUUUCAGGAGCUCUGCGUUUGUGAGAUGGAGAAACGCAAUACUGAUGCAAAGCCUUGACGGUAUCAGAAGACGACAGAUUAAUCACUGGGCAAACACUGCAGACAGAGAUGAAGAUAUAAAGGCUCUUUCAUAAUGUAAUAAGCAAUAAAUGUCACAAACGUACUUGA
Long non-coding RNA from Danio aesculapii, 450 nucleotides. RefSeq lists it as uncharacterized. The record is from RefSeq and is a predicted model, not a curated record. The transcript has 3 exons. Lineage: Eukaryota; Metazoa; Chordata; Actinopteri; Cypriniformes; Danionidae.